RNAcentral lists this ribosomal RNA (275 nucleotides) under Corynebacterium callunae. Its description in RNAcentral is "partial 16S ribosomal RNA". It matches the Rfam family "Bacterial small subunit ribosomal RNA", at positions 456 to 729 of the family's 1533-position model. Lineage: Bacteria; Bacillati; Actinomycetota; Actinomycetes; Mycobacteriales; Corynebacteriaceae. The record is from RNAcentral.
ACGAAGAGUUACAUUGACGGUACCUGGAGAAGAAGCACCGGCUAACUACGUGCCAGCAGCCGCGGUAAUACGUAGGGUGCGAGCGUUGUCCGGAAUUUCUGGGCGUAAAGAGCUCGUAGGUGGUUUGUCGCGUCGUCUGUGAAAUCCCGGGGCUUAACUCCGGGCGUGCAGGCGAUACGGGCAUAACUUGAGUGCUGUAGGGGAGACUGGAAUUCCUGGUGUAGCGGUGAAAUGCGCAGAUAUCAGGAGGAACACCAAUGGCGAAGGCAGGUCUC